RNAcentral lists this ribosomal RNA (163 nucleotides) under Bupleurum amplexicaule. Its description in RNAcentral is "5.8S ribosomal RNA". It matches the Rfam family "5.8S ribosomal RNA". From Rfam's summary of the family: 5.8S ribosomal RNA (5.8S rRNA) is a component of the large subunit of the eukaryotic ribosome. The record is from RNAcentral. Lineage: Eukaryota; Viridiplantae; Streptophyta; Magnoliopsida; Apiales; Apiaceae.
GACUCUCGGCAACGGAUAUCCCGGCUCUCGCAUCGAUGAAGAACGUAGCGAAAUGCGAUACUUGGUGUGAAUUGCAGAAUCCCGUGAACCAUCGAGUUUUUGAACGCAAGUUGCGCCCGAUGCCAUUAGGUUGAGGGCACGUCUGCCUGGGUGUCACAUAAAG